This 1008-nucleotide ribosomal RNA is filed under the name Triticum aestivum (bread wheat). RNAcentral describes it as "partial small subunit ribosomal RNA". Lineage: Eukaryota; Viridiplantae; Streptophyta; Magnoliopsida; Poales; Poaceae. The record is from RNAcentral.
AUGGCGGCGUCCUGCACCACCACCUGGCGUUGCGCAUUCCUCGCGCUACUGGUCCUUUUCGUCUCCGGUGCCCACGGGCAGCUCAGCCCGACGUUCUACGCGUCGACCUGCCCGAACCUGGAGGCCAUCGUCCGCAGCGUCAUGAACACUACCGUCGCCAACGAGAAACGGAUGGGCGCCUCGCUGCUCAGGCUCCACUUCCACGACUGCUUCGUCGAGGGGUGCGACGGAUCGGUCCUCCUGGACAACGUGCCGGCUACUCCGACUACUCCGGCUUUCUUUGGCGAGAGGAACGCGUUCGGGAACAUCAACUCCCUACGCGGCUUCGACGUCAUCGCCAAGAUCAAGACCGCAGUGGAGCAAGCCUGCCCGGGCGUCGUCUCCUGCGCCGACAUCCUCACCCUCGCCGCACGGGACGGCACCGUUCUGCUUGGCGGGCCAACCUGGACGGUGCCGCUCGGCAGGCGCGACUCGACGACGGCGAGCAUGGACCUGGCGAACAGGGACCUCCCGCCGCCGUUCGCCAACCUCACCAGUCCUGACGGUAGCGGGCUCAUCGAGAGGUUCGUCAGGAAGGGCCUGAGCGCGGCCGAGAUGACCGUGCUCUCCGGCGCGCACACCAUCGGCUCCGCGCAGUGCCAGAACUACCGGCUCCGCCUCUACAACGAAGCCCGCAUCGAUUUUCAGUUCGCCGAGGGGCUCAAGGCCAACUGCCCCCAAAAUGGCCCCGCCAACGACACCUUCCUGGCGCCGUUGGACUCGACGGGGUCCACCUUCGACAAUAAGUACUACGCGGACCUCACCAGCUUGCGCGGCCUCCUCCACUCCGACCAGGUUCUCUACCCCCAGAACAACCAGACGCAGGUUAAGAUAGUGCUCAAGUACAAAGGAGACAACGCCGCCUUCUUUGCCGAUUUCGCAGCCGCGAUGAUAAAGAUGGGGAACCUCAGCCCGCUCACGGGAACCGCCGGCCAGAUCAGGACCAACUGUAGUAUCGUCAACCGCUGA